UGCUCCGGCAAGACCCUCCGACGUUCAAGUCAGUUCUCUGCCUCAACAAAAAUGGAGUGCUCGAAUGAGAAUUUUAGCAGAGUUUUGAGAUAGAAAUUAGAGCUUAGAGAAUAACGUAUCUGGGGUCCCCUUUUUAUAGGCGGAGGGCGUAACAGAUUGAUAGCGAUGUUUGUAACCGCCUGGUAGUGGGCCGUUCAGAGACGUGCGGAGUUUGUUACGGAGAGUAGUGGCGUCAGAGG
Molecule: long non-coding RNA, 239 nt
Filed under: Elaeis guineensis (African oil palm)
Lineage: Eukaryota; Viridiplantae; Streptophyta; Magnoliopsida; Arecales; Arecaceae
Description: long non-coding RNA (EGUI_LNC062688)
Source: RNAcentral